This is a non-coding RNA of Acanthosepion pharaonis, 101 nucleotides long. NCBI's taxonomy places the organism in Eukaryota, Metazoa, Mollusca, Cephalopoda, Sepiida, Sepiidae. The record is from the annotation of a GenBank genome assembly.
AAUGUUCACACACAGGUUCUCGUACAAUCACCGAAGUUAAGCAACGUUGAGCCUGGUCAGUACCUAGAUGGGUGACCGCUUGGCAAUACCAGGUGCUGCAA